This is a long non-coding RNA of Gopherus agassizii (Agassiz's desert tortoise), 1278 nucleotides long. The record is from Ensembl. NCBI's taxonomy places the organism in Eukaryota, Metazoa, Chordata, Testudines, Testudinidae.
CUCUUAUUUGUCAGUGUUUGAUUUUGCAAAGGGACACAUUUCUGUUUAGCCAAAGUGAGAAGAGAUGCCUCGUACUUGUGUGAACAGUGCAGAUAACUUCUGCUAUGUUUGUGGUGAAGUGACUUUUGCAUCACAAAAGCGCAGUAUAACCACUAUGGUUAAGAAAGCCUAUCACCUUUAUUUUGGCUGCAAAAUUGGAGAUCAGGACAAGAGGUGGGCCCCACACAUAUGCUGCAACACUUGUGCAACAAAUCUUCGCCAGUGGUUGAACAGGAAAAGGAAAUCUAUGCCUUUUGCAGUGCCAAUGAUUUGGAGAGAGCCAACAGAUCAUACCAGCAAUUGUUACUUCUGCAUGGUGCCUCCAGUUGGGAAAGGUGUGUCAAAGAAGAAAAAGUGGACUGUGCAUUAUCCAAACAUUCCAUCAGCUAUACGCCCAGUACCCCACGGAGAAGGACUGCCGGUUCCUGAUGCACCAGAAUCAUUCUCACUUGAGUCAGACGAGGAAGAGGAAGAGGAUGAAACUUCUGGUCCUGAACCAUCAAUGUCACAGGACCCACAUUUUCUCCCAUCCUCCUCCUCUGAACCACACCUCAUAACACAAGGUGAACUGAAUGACCUUGUCAGGGAUUUGGAACUACCCAAGAGUAAGGCAGAGCUGUUGGGCUCCAGACUACAGCAGUGGAAUCUCCUGGCAGGUGAUGUUAGGGUUUCCAUGUUCCGUGACCGUCAAAAGGAUCUUGUCCCAUUCUUCUUCAUGGAAGGUGAUCUUGUAGCCUGCAACAACAUCGAUGGUGUGAUGGCAGCCCUCAACAUCGUUCACGAUCCAGAUGAGUGGAGACUGUUCAUUGAUUCAUCGAAGACGAGUCUUAAAGCUGUUUUGCUGCAUAAUGGCAAUGUUUUGCCAUCAAUUCCAGUUGGUCAUGCAGUCCAUAUGAAGGAAACCUAUGACAGCAUGAAACAACUUUUGAGGUGCAUAAACUAUGACCAACAUCAGUGGCAGCUUUGUGGCGAUUUGAAGGUUGUUGCUCUCUUGCUUGGUCUGCAGACUGGAUACACAAAGUACUGCUGUUUUCUCUGUGAAUGGGAUAGUCGUGCAAGAGAUUCCCACUACAUCAAGAAAGAUUGGCCACUCCGACAGUCAUUGGAGCCUGGGAGGAAAAGUGUUCAGCAUCCACCACUUGUUGAAUCAAGGAAGAUUUUGUUACCACCGUUACACAUCAAGCUGGGUCUGAUGAAGAACUUUGUCAAGGUCAUUGACAAAACACAAGCAGCUUUCAA